Molecule: ribosomal RNA, 200 nt
Filed under: uncultured bacterium
Lineage: Bacteria
Description: partial 16S ribosomal RNA
Rfam family: Bacterial small subunit ribosomal RNA
Source: RNAcentral
AGAGUUUGAUCCUGGCUCAGGAUGAACGCUAGCGGCAGGCCUAAUACAUGCAAGUCGGACGGGAUUGAGAAGCUUGCUUUUCAUGAGAGUGGCGCACGGGUGCGUAACACGUAUGUAACCUACCUUAUCCAGGGGGAUAGCCUCUCGAAAGAGAGAUUAACACCGCAUAACAUCACGAGGCGGCAUCGUUUUGUGAUCAA